RNAcentral lists this ribosomal RNA (497 nucleotides) under uncultured bacterium. RNAcentral describes it as "partial 16S ribosomal RNA". It matches the Rfam family "Bacterial small subunit ribosomal RNA", at positions 28 to 507 of the family's 1533-position model. The record is from RNAcentral.
GAUGAACGCUGGCGGCGUGCCUAAUACAUGCAAGUCGAGCGAACAGACGAGGAGCUUGCUCCUCUGACGUUAGCGGCGGACGGGUGAGUAACACGUGGAUAACCUACCUAUAAGACUGGGAUAACUUCGGGAAACCGGAGCUAAUACCGGAUAAUAUAGUGGACCGCAUGGUUCAAUAGUGAAAGACGGUUUUGCUGUCAAUUAUAGAUGGAUCCGCGCCGCAUUAGCUAGUUGGUAAGGUAAAGGCUUACCAAGGCAACGAUGCGUAGCCGACCUGAGAGGGUGACCGGCCACACUGGAACUGAGACACGGUCCAGACUCCUACGGGAGGCAGCAGUAGGGAAUCUUCCGCAAUGGGCGAAAGCCUGACGGAGCAACGCCGCGUGAGUGAUGAAGGUCUUCGGAUCGUAAAACUCUGUUAUUAGGGAAGAACAAAUGUGUAAGUAACUAUGCACGUCUUGACGGUACCUAAUCAGAAAGCCACGGCUAACUACGUG